GUAAUUUUUUUCUGAAAUCUUUAAGUUUUUAAUUCAAUUAUCCUCGCUCUAUUUUUAGGGGGAGGGAAGCAGAAGACUGAAUAAUGGCAGCUUCAACAGCCCCUGGAAAUGAGAAGCACGUUGAAGUCUGCCUCACAGGAGGAGGACCAGUCUCCAGGCCUGUAGUCAGUGUCAACCUACUACUGGAAUCCUGAUACCCAGAUCAAUACUGAAUGCUUUUCUGGAGAAUGGUCUUUACCCAGGCGGAGAACAUUGUUCUCAACACAGAGGUAUUUUCCUCAAAACUACUAUGUUGCAAAACAAGAUCGGAAACUAGCUGACCACAAGAAGAGAAAGAAAGAAAUGGAG
Rhea pennata is the source of this 348-nucleotide long non-coding RNA. RefSeq lists it as uncharacterized. Lineage: Eukaryota; Metazoa; Chordata; Aves; Rheiformes; Rheidae. The transcript has 3 exons. The record is from RefSeq and is a predicted model, not a curated record.